UACGUAGGGUGCGAGCGUUGUCCGGAAUUAUUGGGCGUAAAGAGCUUGUAGGCGGUCUGUCGCGUCUGCUGUGAAAAUCCGGGGCUCAACCCCGGACUUGCAGUGGGUACGGGCAGACUAGAGUGUGGUAGGGGAGACUGGAAUUCCUGGUGUAGCGGUGAAAUGCGCAGAUAUCAGGAGGAACACCGAUGGCGAAGGCGACUACCUGGCCCACUCUUGACGCUGAGGCGCGAAAGCUAGGGGAGCGAACGGG
This 253-nucleotide ribosomal RNA is filed under the name uncultured bacterium. RNAcentral describes it as "partial 16S ribosomal RNA". It matches the Rfam family "Bacterial small subunit ribosomal RNA", at positions 524 to 776 of the family's 1533-position model. The record is from RNAcentral.